RNAcentral lists this ribosomal RNA (327 nucleotides) under uncultured eukaryote. RNAcentral's name for it is "partial 18S ribosomal RNA". It matches the Rfam family "Eukaryotic small subunit ribosomal RNA", at positions 1470 to 1796 of the family's 1831-position model. The record is from RNAcentral.
CCCUUAGAUGUCCUGGGCCGCACGCGCGUUACACUGAUGCAUUCAACGAGCUUAUAACCUUGGCCGAGAGGCCUGGGCAAUCUUGUUAACGUGCAUCGUGAUAGGGAUAGAUUAUUGAAAUUAUUAAUCUUGAACGAGGAAUUCCUAGUAAACGCAGAUCAUCAAUCUGCAUUGAUUACGUCCCUGCCCUUUGUACACACCGCCCGUCGCACCUACCGAUUGAAUGGUCCGGUGAAGCCUCGGGAUUGUGGCCAGUUCACUUUAUUGGGAGUUGGCUGUGAGAACUUGUCUAAACCUUAUCAUUUAGAGGAAGGUGAAGUCGUAACA